GAUGAACGCUGGCGGCGUGCCUAAUACAUGCAAGUCGAGCGAACAGAUAAGGAGCUUGCUCCUUUGACGUUAGCGGCGGACGGGUGAGUAACACGUGGGUAACCUACCUAUAAGACUGGAAUAACUCCGGGAAACCGGGGCUAAUACCGGAUAACAUGUUGAACCGCAUGGUUCUACAGUGAAAGACGGUUUUGCUGUCACUUAUAGAUGGACCCGCGCCGUAUUAGCUAGUUGGUGAGGUAACGGCUCACCAAGGCAACGAUACGUAGCCGACCUGAGAGGGUGAUCGGCCACACUGGAACUGAGACACGGUCCAGACUCCUACGGGAGGCAGCAGUAGGGAAUCUUCCGCAAUGGGCGAAAGCCUGACGGAGCAACGCCGCGUGAGUGAUGAAGGUCUUCGGAUCGUAAAACUCUGUUAUUAGGGAAGAACAAAUGCGUAAGUAACUGUGCGCGUCUUGACGGUACCUAAUCAGAAAGCCACGGCUAACUACGUG
This 497-nucleotide ribosomal RNA is filed under the name uncultured bacterium. RNAcentral describes it as "partial 16S ribosomal RNA". It matches the Rfam family "Bacterial small subunit ribosomal RNA", at positions 28 to 507 of the family's 1533-position model. The record is from RNAcentral.